GGCUAAAGUAAUAUAUACUGUAAAAAAAUACUAAAAUACCAAGCGAUUCAGUGAGUGAGGGAGUUUUUUUGACUGAUGAAUUCCACUGGUGGCGAGCCGAAGGAAGAAUCCAUGUGCAGUUUUAUUAACUGGUUAACCGAUACGAAAACAUGACAUAAACACGAAUACUUGAACUCGACUUGAGACAUGAUAACUUGACUAUAACAGACUUGACAAACUCAUCAUUAAGAACACACUUGGUGAAGGGUGCAAUAGUUUCCUCAUUAUUUCCACCUGGAAUGUUAUCAUGCCAGGCAGCGUUAACAGGAAUAUCUUAUUACUGCUGUUAAUAUGUUACAAAUAAUUAUUUAUUUCAUAAUGAAUUUUUAAAAUAUGCUUUAUAAGUGUAUGGGUGGGUGAGUCUUCAUGCUGUGAAAACCUAUAAUUUUGACGUGGUGCUGUAUAUUGCUGUGGGCUGCUGUGUAUUGCCGUGUGUCCUGUCAGAUAAACCCCCGCCUUCACGCACUUCGUCGCGGGAGGACAAGGAGACUGCUGGUCCUAGCCUAGUUCAGUACAGUAUAUGUUGUGAGCGUGCUUCAGAUCUCCGGAGAUAGCACAGUACGCUGUGUCCAGCCCAGAGUUGAUACCUGUGGAGAGAAAAGGAGAGAGAGUGGGUAACACGAGGAGAGACCGAGGAAACCUGUACUUACGCCGCUGCCUGUGGAGAAAGAGAAAGCGACCGUUGCCUGUGGAGGAAGAGAAAGAGAGUGAGCACCCCGAGAACGAACUGUGUGAACCAGUACUUACCGUGAGCUGUAUUCAGCGAAGAGGAGGAAGAAGGAGGGCGCUACGGAUACCUAAGACUCAGGCCGGGGCCCGAGUCCCACGCCCCGGAUCCCCGUGGCCCCCUUGCUCCCUGACCUCUUCCCGGCCAUAGCCCAUCUGGAGGGCCGAGUCAGAGUUUAGUUUUAAUUGCCCUUUCCCUAUUCCCCAAGCUAUUUUUAAAUAUUUAAAUAAAGAUUGUUUUAUCACUUACUUGUUCUCGUGU
Molecule: long non-coding RNA, 1027 nt
Organism: Cyprinus carpio (common carp)
Lineage: Eukaryota; Metazoa; Chordata; Actinopteri; Cypriniformes; Cyprinidae
Source: Ensembl